Molecule: ribosomal RNA, 273 nt
Filed under: uncultured bacterium
Lineage: Bacteria
Description: partial 16S ribosomal RNA
Rfam family: Bacterial small subunit ribosomal RNA
Source: RNAcentral
UACGUAGGCAGCGAGCGUUGUUCGGAGUUACUGGGCGUAAAGCGUGCGUAGGCGGUGUCCUAAGUCUGGUGUGAAAUCUCCCGGCUCAACCGGGAGGGUGCGCCGGAAACUGGGAUGCUGGAGUGCGGGAGAGGCAAGCGGAAUUCCUGGUGUAGCGGUGAAAUGCGUAGAUAUCAGGAGGAACACCUGUGGUGUAGACGGCUUGCUGGACCGCCACUGACGCUGAGGCACGAAAGCGUGGGGAGCAAACAGGAUUAGAAACCCCAGUAGUCC